RNAcentral lists this long non-coding RNA (637 nucleotides) under Monodelphis domestica (gray short-tailed opossum). RNAcentral describes it as "lncRNA (ENSMODG00000051338.1)". Lineage: Eukaryota; Metazoa; Chordata; Mammalia; Didelphimorphia; Didelphidae. The record is from RNAcentral.
CUCAGCUUCAGCUCCAUUAGAUCAUGCCCCAGGAACCAUUGCUCCAGUGAUUCAUCAGAUUGCUAUUUGAACUUCUUAUGCAGCUUGCCCAGAUUUUUUUGUGGAAAAGUCUCACCCAUCUCUUGCUCAUGCAGGGGAGAGAAUCACCAUCUUCCCAGAAGCAAGUCAUCAAAAUGCAGUGGCUUCAGCUUGACUGGUCCAGCUGUAAGAACUUCAUAAUGCCUGCUUCAGUCACUUUCAUGGCCAUUGGAACAAAUUGUUCUCCUCUGCCCAUUCUACAGGAGGAAGUCUUCACAUGCUUGGGAUAGACACCCUACUAAUUCACUGACAGAGGGAAGAAAUCAAGGAGAAGAGAGAGUGAAAGGGUAUAGGAUUUCACCUGCCUGGCCUGUGUCAGGGGGUGUUCAAAGUCCUCUGCCACGAGGUUUCUGAAGAAAAUUAGAGGCUUCUAAGUGAAUAGUGUUUGGAAGGUAAAGGAGGGAAAAUCAGCCUAAACUCUGAGAGAGCUCAGAGAAGAAACUUCACCUGAACUAGGUUACUAGGCUUCCUCCAGUAUGGUAUCAAGGGAAACUCACCGCUAAACUGGACAAUAGCUACCGCUAUGCCAAGAUGCCAAGACACUCAGUUAGCUGCUGCC